AUUCUUCCUCUGCUUGAUACUUACGAGGAAGUCCGAGUUGCGAUACUGUCGACGGCUGCUGAUGAAGUGCACGACAAACAGCUGACUUAACUGCUGGAAGGAGUCUAUGAAGUUCGAUGGUAUAUUAGAAUACCAAUGAUGAACUACUUUCCUCAGAGUCGAAGGAAAAACUCGACAAAGAGUCACAUCAUUAGCUCCUUGCAGA
This 205-nucleotide long non-coding RNA is filed under the name Elaeis guineensis (African oil palm). RNAcentral's name for it is "long non-coding RNA (EGUI_LNC019777)". Lineage: Eukaryota; Viridiplantae; Streptophyta; Magnoliopsida; Arecales; Arecaceae. The record is from RNAcentral.